CCCAAGCAAGCCUAUCCAUUUACCUUUGCUUAACAAAUUUAUCAUAUCAUGCAUACACACACACCUUUUCCCGGGUGUGAAUAUAGCCAAAACACAAUGGCAUUAUCAAUAAUAAUAUACAUGCACUAUACCAGUCGUGUAUUUAGCAAUUUACAUUGCAUACACAUAUUCACAUUGUUAGCUUGUAUUCACAAUACAAAAGGACCCAUGACUUCCAGCGGAGACAUUUACAAUAAAAUGGAUUACUAUCGAAUGCCAGACACAUACCUAGGAGAUGCACUACGAGGACUCCUCGAUCUAGGGUCCAACAGUCACCUGAUCGG
RNAcentral lists this long non-coding RNA (323 nucleotides) under Theobroma cacao (cacao). RNAcentral describes it as "long non-coding RNA (TCAC_LNC001321)". The record is from RNAcentral. Lineage: Eukaryota; Viridiplantae; Streptophyta; Magnoliopsida; Malvales; Malvaceae.